This 69-nucleotide transfer RNA is filed under the name Cephalophus spadix (Abbott's duiker). RNAcentral describes it as "tRNA-His". It matches the Rfam family "tRNA". From Rfam's summary of the family: Transfer RNA (tRNA) molecules are approximately 80 nucleotides in length. Their secondary structure includes four short double-helical elements and three loops (D, anti-codon, and T loops). Further hydrogen bonds mediate the characteristic L-shaped molecular structure. tRNAs have two regions of fundamental functional importance: the anti-codon, which is responsible for specific mRNA codon recognition, and the 3' end, to which the tRNAs corresponding amino acid is attached (by aminoacyl-tRNA synthetases). tRNAs cope with the degeneracy of the genetic code in two manners: having more than one tRNA (with a specific anti-codon) for a particular amino acid; and 'wobble' base-pairing, i.e. permitting non-standard base-pairing at the 3rd anti-codon position. The record is from RNAcentral. Lineage: Eukaryota; Metazoa; Chordata; Mammalia; Artiodactyla; Bovidae.
GUAAAUAUAGUUUAAAAAAAACAUUAGAUUGUGAAUCUAAUAAUAGAAGCCACUAUCUUCUUAUUUACC